AAUUCUUGCUUUUCGCCGGAAAUUUUUCCGGCAACUCCUGCUCUUUUCUUUCUAUUCUCUCCUCUGCUUUUUUGUGGGUGUGUGUGGGUGUGUUCUGUUAUCUUGGACAGGUGCCUAUUUUACCGGCGAGGAUUUCCGGCAAGCCACAGUACUCACGGUGACUCCCGUUCAGACUCGCGGCAGGACGCAAUAGAACUACACGUUCUGCUAAGCUUCAGGAAAACUUGG
Molecule: long non-coding RNA, 228 nt
Filed under: Nicotiana benthamiana
Lineage: Eukaryota; Viridiplantae; Streptophyta; Magnoliopsida; Solanales; Solanaceae
Description: long non-coding RNA (NBEN_LNC038908)
Source: RNAcentral